This is a long non-coding RNA of Cygnus olor (mute swan), 1126 nucleotides long. RefSeq lists it as uncharacterized. The record is from RefSeq and is a predicted model, not a curated record. NCBI's taxonomy places the organism in Eukaryota, Metazoa, Chordata, Aves, Anseriformes, Anatidae. The transcript has 2 exons.
CGCCGAGAAUGAAGCUGCCGACGGCGGAGAUGAAGCCGCUGAGGAAGGAGUUGAAGGGGAAGGUGCCGACGCCGAGGCAGUAGCCGAACUGGAGCGCGCCGGUGAGCAGCACGUAGAGCAGGUAGGCGUCCAGCACCUUGAGGCGACUCGGCGUGCCGCUGCCGUACUCGGCCAGGAAGCGCCGCACCACCGAGCCCACCGAGCCCGCGGCCCCCGCGCCGCCCGCGCCCGACCCCGCGGCGCCCGACAUGUUGAGGUGCGGAGCGAGCUGAGGUGGCCGGAAGCAGCGCCGGGAAACGCUUCCGGGGCGCGGCUGAGAAGCGCAGGCGCGUGACCUCCCUGAAGGCCGAGUUCUGCCCAGGGAAGGGCGGAAGCGAGGUGUCAGCAGACACUGCACGCACGCGCGCCGGCUCUCUCCAUCCUUGUGGUUUCUUCUGUCGUUCCAGGGGGAAGAAAAACAACCUAAAAAAAAGCCCAACCCUGAGACCCAGACACUUAAUCUAAACUGUUAAAAAGUAAAAUAACUAAACUAAACUAAACUACUAAACUAAAGUGUUGCAAGGUCAGCAAUAGAGAGCAGAGGUUUCUUUACCAGUCCAACCUUAAAUUACCAUGUUACAGCCUAUUUAUCCUUUCUCCCAAGAAUCCCCCCUUUCCUCGUGAAUUCCUUUGAUAAGAAGACUGCCCGGUUCCUUAUUUCAAGUGCCCCAACACAAAACCCAUCAAAGAACUGAAGAAAUGAUAGAAGUGAGCAGGAAGACCAGCAGCAGAUAUCUCCACCACCUAUGCAGUCUGUGCCACCUCACAAUCAAAGACACAAGCUAUGAUACUGUUCCUGCCCUAUUAACUCCUCAGCCACAAGUGACCUCACAAGCACUGACUCAAGCCAUGUGUAUACGUUUCGGUUUAGUUAUCGAUUUGGCUUAUUAUUUUUAUUAUUUGUAGAAUGAUCUGUAGUUGUUAAAGAAAGUAUCUCCUUGUAGCCUGGCUCCCGUGGUCAUCACCCCUUGUUAUGACAGGAAUGUAAUAAUAAAGUUUGUUGAGGUUGUAUUCCUGGUGAUCUGAAUACGUAAACACCAAAAGUGCUGGUGGCCCAAGUACAAAUAAAAUUGUAAUUGUAACUGGA